GACUGACGCUCAGGUGCGAAAGCGUGGGAGCAAACAGGAUUAGAUACCCUGGUAGUCCACGCGUAAACGAUGUCGACUUGGAGGCUGUUNCCUGAGAAGUGGCUUCCGGAGCUAACGCGUUAAGUCGACCGCCUGGGGAGUACGGCCGCAAGGUUAAAACUCAAAUGAAUUGACGNGGGCCCGCACAAGCGGUGGAGCAUGUGGUUUAAUACGAUGCAACGCGAAGAACCUUACCUACUCUUGACAUCCACGGAAUUCGGCAGAGAUGCCUUAGUGCCUUCGGGAACCGUGAGACAGGUGCUGCAUGGCUGUCGUCAGCUCGUGUUGUGAAAUGUUGGGUUAAGUCCCGCAACGAGCGCAACCCUUAUCCUUUGUUGCCAGCGAUUCGGUCGGGAACUCAAAGGAGACUGCCGGUGAUAAACCGGAGGAAGGUGGGGAUGACGUCAAGUCAUCAUGGCCCUUACGAGUAGGGCUACACACGUGCUACAAUGGCGCAUACAAAGAGAAGCGACCUCGCGAGAGCAAGCGGACCUCAUAAAGUGCGUCGUAGUCCGGAUCGGAGUCUGCAACUCGACUCCGUGAAGUCGGAAUCGCUAGUAAUCGUGGAUCAGAAUGCCACGGUGAAUACGUUCCCGGGCCUUGUACACACCGCCCGUCACACCAUGGGAGUGGGUUGCAAAAGAAGUAGGUAGCUUAACCUUCGGGAGGGCGCUUACCACUUUGUGAUUCAUGACUGGGGUGAAGUCGUAACAAGGUAACC
This 760-nucleotide ribosomal RNA is filed under the name uncultured bacterium. RNAcentral's name for it is "bacterial SSU rRNA". It matches the Rfam family "Bacterial small subunit ribosomal RNA", at positions 738 to 1501 of the family's 1533-position model. The record is from RNAcentral.